Molecule: ribosomal RNA, 522 nt
Filed under: uncultured bacterium
Lineage: Bacteria
Description: bacterial SSU rRNA
Rfam family: Bacterial small subunit ribosomal RNA
Source: RNAcentral
CAGGACGAACGCUGGCGGCGUGCCUAAUACAUGCAAGUCGAACGGUCUUUUCUAUGGAAGCUUGCUUCCACUGAGAAGAUAGUGGCGAACGGGUGAGUAACACGUGGGUAACCUGCCCAUAAGAGGGGGAUAACAUCCGGAAACGGGUGCUAAUACCGCAUAGUUUUCUUGAUCGCAUGAUCGGGAAAGGAAAGACGGCCUUUGUGCUGUCGCUUAUGGAUGGACCCGCGGCGUAUUAGUUAGUUGGUGAGGUAACGGCUCACCAAGACGAUGAUACGUAGCCGACCUGAGAGGGUGAUCGGCCACAUUGGGACUGAGACACGGCCCAAACUCCUACGGGAGGCAGCAGUAGGGAAUCUUCCGCAAUGGACGAAAGUCUGACGGAGCAACGCCGCGUGAGUGAAGAAGGUUUUUCCGGAUCGUAAAACUCUGUUGUCAGAGAAGAACAAGUUGGAGAGUAACUGCUCCAGCCUUGACGGUAUCUGACCAGAAAGCCACGGCUAACUACGUGCCAGCCGCAGC